This 1218-nucleotide long non-coding RNA is filed under the name Oncorhynchus mykiss (rainbow trout). Its description in RNAcentral is "lncRNA (ENSOMYG00000048727.1)". The record is from RNAcentral. Lineage: Eukaryota; Metazoa; Chordata; Actinopteri; Salmoniformes; Salmonidae.
UGUCUUCACCUUGGAGCCAGCCUGUGGUACCCUGCCACCCAACAGCCACCGGCGCCUACGCCUGCUCUUCAGACCACACCACCCCAUGGGACAUCACAGGAGGGUGGUCUGUCUGCUGCUACACAGGGUGAGGGGCAGGAGGGUGAGGGGCUGGAGGGUGAGGGACAGGAGGGUGGUCUGUCUGCUGCUACACAGGGUGAGGGACAGGAGGGUGGUCUGUCUGCUGCUACACAGGGUGAGGGGCAGGAGGGUGAGGGACUAGAGGGUGAGGGACAGGAGGGUGGUCUGUCUGCUGCUACACAGGGUGAGGGGCAGGAGGGUGGUCUGUCUGCUGCUACACAGGGUGAGGGACAGGAGGGUGAGGGGCUGGAGGGUGAGGGACAGGAGGGUGGUCUGUCUGCUGCUACACAGGGUGAGGGGCAGGAGGGUGGUCUGUCUGCUGCUACACAGGGUGAGGGACAGGAGGGUGGUCUGUCUGCUGCUACACAGGGUGAGGGGCAGGAGGGUGAGGGGCUGGAGGGUGAGGGACAGGAGGGUGGUCUGUCUGCUGCUACACAGGGUGAGGGACAGGAGGGUGAGGGGCUGGAGGGUGAGGGACAGGAGGGUGGUCUGUCUGCUGCUACACAGGGUGAGGGACAGGAGGGUGGUCUGUCUGCUGCUACACAGGGUGAGGGGCAGGAGGGUGAGGGACAGGAGGGUGGUCUGUCUGCUGCUACACAGGGUGAGGGACAGGAGGGUGGUCUGUCUGCUGCUACACAGGGUGAGGGGCAGGAGGGUGAGGGGCUGGAGGGUGAGGGACAGGAGGGUGGUCUGUCUGCUGCUACACAGGGUGAGGGACAGGAGGGUGAGGGGCUGGAGGGUGGUCUGUCUGCUGCUACACAGGGUGAGGGACAGGAGGGUGAGGGGCUGGAGGGUGGUCUGUCUGCUGCACCACAGGGUGAGGGACAGGAGGGUGAGGGGCUGGAGGGUGGUCUGUCUGCUGCUACACAGGGUGAGGGACAGGAGGGUGAGGGGCUGGAGGGUGGUCUGUCUGCUGCUACACAGGGUGAGGGACAGGAGGGUGAGGGACAGGAGGGUGGUCUGUCUGCUGCUACACAGGGUGAGGGGCUGGAGGGUGGUCUGUCUGCUGCACCACAGGGUGAGGGACAGGAGGGUGAGGGGCUGGAGGGUGGUCUGUCUGCUGCUACACAGGGUGAGGGACUGGGGCUCAGACUCUGA